CACACACACACACACACACACAUAGCCAAACCAGUCCAUCAGGCAGCCAGAAUAGAGCUCAUCAAUCAUAACUAUAUUUAUCAACAGGAGGAUGUUAGAGAUUACUCAAAUCAACAUUUAAAUACCAGCGUGGUUUGGGCUGUGUGUGUGUGUGCAUGUGCGUGUGCGUGUGUGGGUGUUUUGGGCUGUGUGUGUGUGUGCAUGUGCGUGUGCGUGUGUGGGUGGUUUGGGCUGUGUGUGUGUGCAUGUGCGUGUGAGGGUGGUUUGGGCUGCGAAGUUGAAAGCAGAUGAUGUAAACUACUUGUUUUGCUCCAUAGUUUUGAUAAUUGGUUGUCGGUCAUAGGACUUCUGAGUGUGUGUGUGUGUGUGUUCUAGGGAUCCUGAAACAGAAACACUGGGGAGUAUAAACUUCUGACAAAGCACAGUUAUUGAUAUCUCACGGGGCAGUCAACACAUCACAUGGUGAGAACCAGAGGAGAAUGUCACAGCUUCUCAGAACCAGAGGAGAAUGUCACAGCUUCUCAGAACCAGAGGAGAAUGUCACAGCUUCUCAGAACCACAGGAGAAUGUCACAGCUUCUCAGAACCAGAGGAGAAUGUCACAGCUUCUCAGAACCACAGGAGAAUGUCACAGCUUCUCAGAACCACAGGAGAAUGUCACAGCUUCUCAGAACCAGAGGAGAAUGUCACAGCUUCUCAGAACCACAGGAGAAUGUCACAGCUUCUCAGAACCACAGGAGAAUGUCACAGCUUCUCAGAACCACAGGAGAAUGUCACAGCUUCUCAGAACCACAGGAGAAUGUCACAACUUCUCAGAACCACAGGAGAAUGUCACAGCUUCUCAGAACCACAGGAGAAUGUCACAGCUUCUCAGAACCAGAGGAGAAUGUCACAGCUUCUCAGAACCAGAGGAGAAUGUCACAGCUUCUCAGAACCAGAGGAGAAUGUCACAGCUUCUCAGAACCACAGGAGAAUGUCACAGCUUCUCAGAACCAGAGGAGAAUGUCACAGCUUCUCAGAACCAGAGGAGAAUGUCACAGCUUCUCAGAACCAGAGGAUAACGUCACAGCUUCUCAGAACCAGAGGAGAAUGUCACAGCUUCUCAGAACCAGAGGAUAACGUCACAGCUUCUCAGAACCAGAGGAGAAUGUCACAGCUUCCCAGAACCAGAGGAGAAUGUCACAGCUUCUCAGAACCACGGAGAAUCUCACAGCUUCUCAGAACCAGAGGAGAAUGUCACAGCUUCUCAGAACCACAGGAGAAUGUCACAGCUUCUCAGAACCACAGGAGAAUGUCAUAGCUUCUCAGAACCAGAGGAGAAUGUCACAGCUUCUCAGAACCAGAGGAGAAUGUCACAGCUUCUCAGAACCACAGGAGAAUGUCACAGCUUCUCAGAACCAGAGGAGAAUGUCACAGCUUCUCAGAACCAGAGGAUAACGUCACAGCUUCUCAGAACCAGAGGAGAAUGUCACAGCUUAUCAGAACCAGAGGAUAACGUCACAGCUUCUCAGAACCAGAGGAGAAUGUCACAGCUUCCCAGAACCAGAGGAGAAUGUCACAGCUUCUCAGAACCACAGGAGAAUGUCACAGCUUCUCAGAACCAGAGGAGAAUGUCACAGCUUCUCAGAACCACAGGAGAAUGUCACAGCUUCUCAGAACCACAGGAGAAUGUCAUAGCUUCUCAGAACCAGAUGAGAAUGUCACAGCUUCUCAGAACCAGAGGAGAAUGGCAUAGCUUCUCAGAACCAGAGGAGAAUAUCACAGCUUCUCAGAACCAGAGGAGAAUGUCACAGCUUCUCAGAACCAGAGGAGAAUGUCACAGCUUCUCAGAACCAGAGGAGAAUGUCACAGCUUCUCAGAACCAGAGGAGAAUGUCACAGCUUCUCAGAACCAGAGGAGAAUGUCACAGCUUCUCAGAACCAGAGGAGAAUGGCAUAGCUUCUCAGAAACAGGAAAGAGAUGAACGUGGAAAGAACUCAAAUUCUAAAAAAAAUACUUUUCACAAGUCAUUGUUGGGACUAGAAGGUUCUAUCUGCAUUUUAGUCAGAAUGUAGUUAUUGACAUAGCCUUGUUCUGUUCAAUGUUCUCUACCUGUAUAGAACAUUAAAUACCCCCAUUUCAUGUUAAGUUCAAAAUAAUACAAUAUCAAAAUUGCUGACACCAUUCAAACCAAUGAGGAUUCGGAACUUUAAAGCCAGUUAUCUCAGAAUCAUCUUUUUGCAGAUAGAACCUUACAGUCCCAAGCUCUAGCAUUGUAUUUUUUUAUAACUUUUUUUGUUUGCUGUAUGUAUCAUUCAUUUUACUGUAGAUUUGUUUUCUUCUUCUGACACACACACACACACACACACACACACACACACACACACACACACACACACACACACACACACACACACACACACUCUCUUCUCUGGUGUGCUGUGAGUCUCUGAGAGGUAAUAUGUUUCUGUGAUGAGCCUUCAUGACUUCACUCAGGCAGGACAUGAGCCUGUCAUAAAACACACUGGCCCUGCUCUGGCCCGACACACACACACACACUGUUUCAAGUAAGCGUCUGAGAAAGGGAGAUCAGACUGAAGGGAAAAAAUCACAGUGUGAUUUAGAUAGUGAAGUGUGAAGAUUGGCAUUUAAAUAAUCUGGGUGAAUUUCAAUGAAAACAAAUGUAAAAUAUAUAUUAAUGUAGCACAAAACACUGACAUCAUGUUCUGUAGAUCUGAGUGGCAUAAAGAGAAAGAGAGAGAGAGAGGGAGAGAGAGACACUGUGCUGAAAGUUGCAGUGUCAUUGUCCAGCUGUCUUUUGGUUUUCUGGAGAAACAGAAGGUUGGUUUGUAUUCUUCACCUCCUCUGACUCCUCUUUCCUCUCUUUCCCCUCUCCCUUCUGCAGACGCUGGCGGUACGGGGGGUGGUUCUGAACACACACAGACAGACGGAAGGUUCUGUAUCACGUAGAGUCUGUACUGUUUGUGUUCUCCAAACCCUUGAAGUUUAAUUUAUGUGACAAAAGUUGGUUAGAGUACAGAUAUUAUAUAACUAUACAGUGGAGAGUUCAGCUACCCAUUUAUUCAUGAUUCCCUCGCUGGCGAUCUUCACCUCCAUUCGGUCACUGAAAAUCUCUUUCUUCAUCCUGGACACACAAGAAAAGGAAACACAGGAAAGGUUAAAGCGGCAGUUCAGUUCUAAAUCAAUAUUUGUCAAAG
Molecule: long non-coding RNA, 3196 nt
Filed under: Salmo salar (Atlantic salmon)
Lineage: Eukaryota; Metazoa; Chordata; Actinopteri; Salmoniformes; Salmonidae
Description: lncRNA (ENSSSAG00000100952.1)
Source: RNAcentral